CUGGGAGUUGCUCUGACUGUUGGUUGCAAUCUUGGCUUAAAUGUCUGGUUUGUGGCUUUUAGUUNAAGCUCUUUCUGAGGAUGAUUACCGUAAAGGUGCAUGAGUGGUGUUUGGUUUGUUACCGGUGGUUGGCUCUCUGCUUUUGCAACAACUUCCACCUGGCAUUCCUUUUCAGUUGUGGGUCAAGGUUGUUUUUCCUUGAGCGCUUUUGGUUUCCUGUGUUGCCUUCCUAUGUGAUGGUAUUGUUUGAUCGCAUCAGUCUUGUUUUNAUCUUCGCGUCGUGUGUGGCGUGGGAUGAAUCUUAAAGCAGUUUCUUUGAUCCACCUUGUUGAUGCACAUGCAUCGAUGUUGUGGCUCAUUGAGUUUUGCUUGGACUUCUGGAUACAGAACAUGAUAUGGGUGAUGGUCUCAUGUGAUACCUCUUUUGCCCUUGUUGAACGUUGCUAUAUCUCUAAGAUGGCUGCCUAGCCCGAAUUGGCUCGUACCACCGGGUAGGUUAUGUUGUUGAAGAGCGAUGCUAGCGUUCUUGCUUCUCUAAAACGAAUGGCCUUGCCUGCAUGGGCUCGUACCAGCGGGUGGGCUACGUCGAAGAGGGAUGCUACCUGGUUGAUCCUGCCAGUAGUCAUAUGCUUGUCUCAA
Molecule: unclassified non-coding RNA, 639 nt
Filed under: Carpesium triste
Lineage: Eukaryota; Viridiplantae; Streptophyta; Magnoliopsida; Asterales; Asteraceae
Description: partial contains external transcribed spacer and 18S ribosomal RNA
Source: RNAcentral